UCCUGGCUCAGGAUGAACGCUAGCUACAGGCUUAACACAUGCAAGUCGAGGGGCAGCAUGGUUGUUGCUUGCAACAACUGAUGGCGACCGGCGCACGGGUGAGUAACGCGUAUCCAACCUGGCCCAUAGUAGGGGAUAGCCCGGCGAAAGUCGGAUUAAUACCCUAUGUUUUCCCAUGAGAGCAUUUGAACGGGAACAAAGAUUUAUCGCUAUGGGAUGGGGAUGCGUCCGAUUAGCUUGCCGGCGGGGUAACGGCCCACCGGGGCAUCGAUCGGUAGGGGUUCUGAGAGGAAGGUCCCCCACAUUGGAACUGAGACACGGUCCAAACUCCUACGGGAGGCAGCAGUGAGGAAUAUUGGUCAAUGGGGCGUGAGCCUGAACCAGCCAAGUAGCCGUGCAGGAAGACGGCCCUAUGGGUUGUAAACUGCUUUUGGAGGGGAAUAAAGUCGCCUACUAGUAGGCGUUUGCAUGUACCCUCAGAAUAAGGACCGGCUAAUUCCGUGCCAGCAGCCGC
This 514-nucleotide ribosomal RNA is filed under the name uncultured bacterium. Its description in RNAcentral is "bacterial SSU rRNA". It matches the Rfam family "Bacterial small subunit ribosomal RNA", at positions 17 to 518 of the family's 1533-position model. The record is from RNAcentral.